Molecule: non-coding RNA, 201 nt
Organism: Pelobates cultripes (western spadefoot toad)
Lineage: Eukaryota; Metazoa; Chordata; Amphibia; Anura; Pelobatidae
Source: the annotation of a GenBank genome assembly
AGUUACGCUUCUAGCUAUAUGCCCUGAUGCUCUCCCAUUGUGCCUAUUUGGGACCGCUUUUGGAGACACGAUGGAACAAGUCAGGACGGCUGGACAUGACCUAAAAAUCGUAACUGUCCUGCUGAAAUCAGGAAUGGUUGGGAUGCCUGGCUUACGAUUCUACUCCUCGCUGAACGGAAAGGAUAUAGAGGGAGGACAGGC